AAGCAACUCCAACAAGUAAAACAAGAACUGUGAGUAAAGUGGGAAAUUUAGCUGUGUCUAGAGGAAGAGGAACUGUUGGAAAAGUUAAAGCCAUAUCAAGAGUGGAAGGACAAAUUAUCAAAACUGAGGCAAUUUGUAAAGCGUAAGCAAUACCAACCAGAUU
Molecule: long non-coding RNA, 163 nt
Organism: Amphimedon queenslandica
Lineage: Eukaryota; Metazoa; Porifera; Demospongiae; Haplosclerida; Niphatidae
Exons: 4
Source: RefSeq, a predicted model, not a curated record